AUAUCUCUCCGUACGGGAAGGAUGAGAAGCUUCGACUAAGGUUCGAUUCGAGCGCAGCGAGAAAGCGUUGCCGCAGGCAACGACCCGAAGGGCGAA
This 96-nucleotide small RNA is filed under the name Salmonella enterica. RNAcentral describes it as "partial RtT sRNA". It matches the Rfam family "RtT RNA", at positions 1 to 95 of the family's 130-position model. From Rfam's summary of the family: This family represents a bacterial cis-regulatory element known as RtT RNA. The exact function of RtT is unknown although it is thought that it may be involved in changing the cellular response in relation to amino acid starvation. The record is from RNAcentral. RNAcentral also lists the same sequence under 1 other name. Lineage: Bacteria; Pseudomonadati; Pseudomonadota; Gammaproteobacteria; Enterobacterales; Enterobacteriaceae.